Molecule: non-coding RNA, 1382 nt
Organism: Homo sapiens (human)
Lineage: Eukaryota; Metazoa; Chordata; Mammalia; Primates; Hominidae
Source: RefSeq, a predicted model, not a curated record
ACACGCACUCAGGGUUUGCUACUGGAAUGUUUGAAGCCUAGGCUCCGCCUGACCGAGCCUCCCUGUGCGUGUGGGGAGACUACCUACACUUCUAUAAGCCCUCUUCUGAAAAGGUGCAGUAAAAGAAUUAGAGAAGACAUUUGGGGAGCAGUCUUUUCCUUGUUGCCAUUUCUCAUCGGAUGUACAAAGCAACUUAUAGGAUACAAGAUCUAAAUCUUCUGCCAGUGUGUGCUACACGUUGGGUACCCUCUGAUACGCUGAAAUUGCAUUGAAGGGCACAAAGGCUGGACAUAGCAGUGUGGGCGCUGUACUGCAGAUGUUCUCAGGGGCCUCCAGACGGGGAAAAGUGCAUUUAAAAAUUUACCUCUGGUAUUUAAGUGUGGUUAAUUAAAUUCCAAAAUUGUACUUAAUGAAAUUUGUAAUUCCUGAUGUCUUUGGAAUCUGUAACUGCUUUUCAGAAGACCUCUGCCUCAACUUUUCUUUAAAGAAACUGGUUUGUUAAAUGAGGAAUGAGUAAUCCUGAAUAAUUAGUUUUGCAGAGAAUAAAUGGACUAAAAUGCAAUAAUAUCUUUUCAAAUACCAUAUUUAGGUACCUUUAAGCAAGUAAUCCUUAAAACUAUUUAGCCUUUCUGGAGUUAUCUAUAAUAUUGUGUUCUCAAUUUUAAUGGCUCUUUUGCUUUUCUUUUUUUUUUCUUUUGGUUGGAAAUCAGGAUGUGUAAUGUUAGCAUGUAAAUUAUAGUAUGGUAAAAUCUUGUUUUUGCCAUAUUAUCUGCAUAAUUGUAAAUGUGUUGCUAGUACCUAUCAUUACUCAUAACAAACAUACUAUGAAAAUCUACAUUAUUGGUGCAGCACUAUCCGAUAGAAAUAUAAUAUGAGCUACAUGGGGAAUUUUCAGUUUUCUGCUAGCUGUGUUUUUUUAAAAAGUGAAGUUAAUUUUAAUACCAUAUUUUAUAUUAUCUAAUACAUCAGAAAUGUUAUUUCAACAUGCAGUCAAUAUAAAAAUCAUCAAUGAGAUAGUUCACAUUCUUUUUUCCAUACUAAGUCUCUGCAUUUCCAUAUUUCAGUUUGGAUGAGCCACACUUUCAGUGCUCUGUCACCACCUGUGGCCUGCCUACUGCCAUACUGAACAGCACAGUGUUUAAUGCCGUUUCACUAGUAUUCUUGGAACUGUUUCUACAUUUCUGUGAUUGUUUUUGGUUGGUAGCUAACACUUGAAUGUUCUACAUGCUGACACACAGCAGCAAAGAACAUAGAGCUUCUAGGCCUGGCUGUUCUUUCUUAGUUGGAAAAGAAAUAGAAUUACCAUAAAAUGAAUUUUAAUUGUGUGCGCAUGUAAAUAUAAAGACACUAAUUAUUUUAAUAAAUUUUGAGUUCAGCCUUAA